GAUGAAGAACGUAGCGAAAUGCGAUAAGUAAUGUGAAUUGCAGAAUUCAGUGAAUCAUCGAAUCUUUGAACGCUCAUUGCGACCGCCAGUAUUCUGGCGGGCAUGCCUGUUCGAGCGUCAUUUCAACCCUCAAGCCCUCGGGUUUGGUGUUGGGGAUCGGCGAGCCUUUCUGGCAAGCCGGCCCCGAAAUCUAGUGGCGGUCUCGCUGCAGCCUCCAUUGCGUAGUAGUAAAACCCUCGCAACUGGAACGCGGCGCGGCCAAGCCGUUAAACCCCCAACUUCUGAAUGUUGACCUCGGAUCAGGUAGGAAUACCCGCUGAACUUAAGCAUAUCAAUAAGCGGAGGA
This 346-nucleotide unclassified non-coding RNA is filed under the name soil metagenome. RNAcentral's name for it is "partial contains 5.8S ribosomal RNA, internal transcribed spacer 2, and large subunit ribosomal RNA". The stretch from base 1 to 120 matches the Rfam family "5.8S ribosomal RNA", at positions 35 to 154 of the family's 154-position model. The record is from RNAcentral.